AAGGCUUUAGCUUAAUUAAAGUGUCUGUUUUGCAUACAGGAGAUGUGGGUUAAUGUCCUGCAAGUCUUA
Molecule: transfer RNA, 69 nt
Filed under: Oxyeleotris marmorata (marble goby)
Lineage: Eukaryota; Metazoa; Chordata; Actinopteri; Gobiiformes; Eleotridae
Also listed under: 8 other names
Description: tRNA-Ala
Rfam family: tRNA
About the family: Transfer RNA (tRNA) molecules are approximately 80 nucleotides in length. Their secondary structure includes four short double-helical elements and three loops (D, anti-codon, and T loops). Further hydrogen bonds mediate the characteristic L-shaped molecular structure. tRNAs have two regions of fundamental functional importance: the anti-codon, which is responsible for specific mRNA codon recognition, and the 3' end, to which the tRNAs corresponding amino acid is attached (by aminoacyl-tRNA synthetases). tRNAs cope with the degeneracy of the genetic code in two manners: having more than one tRNA (with a specific anti-codon) for a particular amino acid; and 'wobble' base-pairing, i.e. permitting non-standard base-pairing at the 3rd anti-codon position.
Source: RNAcentral